AGCUUUGCGCACUGGCAGUAUCGUGGCCAAUGAGGUUUAUCUGAGGCACGAUUAUUGUUAAUUGAAAACUUUUCCCCAGUAAGUGAUAGUUGUACAUUCCUAACAGGUAGAAAUUUUUUAAAAAGCUAAAACAAGC
Cynocephalus volans (Philippine flying lemur) is the source of this 136-nucleotide small nuclear RNA. RefSeq annotates it as U4 spliceosomal RNA. The record is from RefSeq and is a predicted model, not a curated record. The transcript has a single exon. NCBI's taxonomy places the organism in Eukaryota, Metazoa, Chordata, Mammalia, Dermoptera, Cynocephalidae.